AUUGAACGCUGGCGGCAUGCCUUACACAUGCAAGUCGAACGGUAACAGGUCUUCGGAUGCUGACGAGUGGCGAACGGGUGAGUAAUACAUCGGAACGUGCCUAGUAGUGGGGGAUAACUACUCGAAAGAGUGGCUAAUACCGCAUGAGAUCUACGGAUGAAAGCAGGGGAUCGCACGACCUUGUGCUACUAGAGCGGGCGAUGGCAGAUGAGGGAGUUGGUGGGAUAAAAGCUUACCAAGCCGACGAUCUGUAGCUGGUCUGAGAGGACGAUCAGCCACACUGGGACUGAGACACGGCCCAGACUCCUACGGGAGGCAGCAGUGGGGAAUUUUGGACAAUGGGCGCAAGCCUGAUCCAGCAAUGCCGCGUGCAGGAUGAAGGCCUUCGGGUUGUAAACUGCUUUUGUACGGAACGAAAAGCCCCGGGUUAAUACCCUGGGGUCAUGACGGUACCGUAAGAAUAAGCACCGGCUAACUACGUGCCAGCCGCCGCCGUAA
RNAcentral lists this ribosomal RNA (498 nucleotides) under uncultured bacterium. Its description in RNAcentral is "partial 16S ribosomal RNA". It matches the Rfam family "Bacterial small subunit ribosomal RNA", at positions 30 to 523 of the family's 1533-position model. The record is from RNAcentral.